GUGGGGAAUCUUAGACAAUGGGCGCAAGCCUGAUCUAGCCAUGCCGCGUGAGCGAUGAAGGCCUUAGGGUUGUAAAGCUCUUUCGUGGGGGAAGAUAAUGACUGUACCCAAAGAAGAAGCCCCGGAUAACUCCGUGCCAGCAGCCGCGGUAAUACGGAGGGGGCUAGCGUUGUGCGGAAUUACUGGGCGUAAAGCGCACGUAGGCGGACUGGAAAGUCAGGGGUGAAAUCCCGGGGCUCAACCCCGGAACUGCCUUUGAAACUCCCAGUCUAGAGUUCGAGAGAGGUGGGUGGAAUUCCGAGUGUAGAGGUGAAAUUCGUAGAUAUUCGGAGGAACACCAGUGGCGAAGGCGGCUCACUGGCUCGAUACUGACGCUGAGGUGCGAAAGCGUGGGGAGCAAACAGGAUUAGAAACCCGAGUAGUCC
RNAcentral lists this ribosomal RNA (425 nucleotides) under uncultured bacterium. RNAcentral describes it as "partial 16S ribosomal RNA". It matches the Rfam family "Bacterial small subunit ribosomal RNA", at positions 354 to 796 of the family's 1533-position model. The record is from RNAcentral.